RNAcentral lists this ribosomal RNA (238 nucleotides) under Mycobacterium tuberculosis. RNAcentral's name for it is "partial 16S ribosomal RNA". It matches the Rfam family "Bacterial small subunit ribosomal RNA", at positions 407 to 645 of the family's 1533-position model. The record is from RNAcentral. Lineage: Bacteria; Bacillati; Actinomycetota; Actinomycetes; Mycobacteriales; Mycobacteriaceae.
GAUGACGGCCUUCGGGUUGUAAACCUCUUUCACCAUCGACGAAGGUCCGGGUUCUCUCGGAUUGACGGUAGGUGGAGAAGAAGCACCGGCCAACUACGUGCCAGCAGCUGCGGUAAUACGUAGGGUGCGAGCGUUGUCCGGAAUUACUGGGCGUAAAGAGCUCGUAGGUGGUUUGUCGCGUUGUUCGUGAAAUCUCACGGCUUAACUGUGAGCGUGCGGGCGAUACGGGCAGACUAGA